This 253-nucleotide ribosomal RNA is filed under the name uncultured bacterium. RNAcentral describes it as "partial 16S ribosomal RNA". It matches the Rfam family "Bacterial small subunit ribosomal RNA", at positions 524 to 776 of the family's 1533-position model. The record is from RNAcentral.
UACGUAGGUGGCAAGCGUUGUCCGGAUUUACUGGGCGUAAAGGGCGUGCAGGCGGUCUGUUAAGUCUAGGGUGAAAGCUCCCGGCUCAACUGGGAGAGGUCCUUGGAUACUGGCGGACUUGAGGGAGGCAGAGGAGUAUGGAAUUCCCGGUGUAGUGGUGAUAUGCGUAGAUAUCGGGAGGAACACCAGUGGCGAAGGCGGUACUCUGGGCCUUACCUGACGCUGAGACGCGAAAGCGUGGGGAGCGAACCGG